Molecule: long non-coding RNA, 255 nt
Organism: Prionailurus viverrinus (fishing cat)
Lineage: Eukaryota; Metazoa; Chordata; Mammalia; Carnivora; Felidae
Exons: 3
Source: RefSeq, a predicted model, not a curated record
AGAUAUGUAUAAGAGACAGAGUGCAUCCUGGGGGUGGAGGAGGAAUGUUGCCAGCAGCAGCCCCAGCUCUGAAUCUGGUACCUGCAAAAUAUGCUCCUUCCACCGGCACUGUUGAAUCAGGCAGACAGAUGGGAGCAAGCGGAUAAUAAGCCACAGGGGCUGUGGAACCUAAAGGGCCAAAAGCCACAGUGUGGUCAGGAAAAGCAGCUGAUGGAGUGGGGACUGCAGCAGCUCCUGGAUGCACAAAGCUCAAAC